CUCGUUUGGCAACCUCUAAUAAUGUAUGGCCACCUUUAGUCAGCGACUCUCUCUGGACAUGAGUAACUAAGUGCUUCAGUGAGUCUUCAGAACAGACCCCUGCAGCUUUCACUGUGAGCAGAAAUACCUCUGUACCUAUGUGUCUCUCAAAAACACUGGGGGGGGUUACAGCAGGGGCAGGGACCUGAGAGUAAUCCCAGUGGGCCCCGGACCCCCAGCCCGACCCUGACAACAUAUGUAAGGGCACAGCUUGCCGCUAGACAUGUAAAGUCAAAUGUGGUAACAACUAAGCUGGUAUGCAAGAAUAUGAUAAAAAAAAUGUUAUUUCAGAUACUGGAGCAUACAACUACCAGCAUCCUCCCUGCUAGUGCAGGAAUAUGUGGAAGUGCCACAACAGGAUCAAACUUUUUGUUUUAUAUGUGACAUUUGGUACUAAAGUUACACUUCAUUUUCCAACGGUCGCACUCAUCCUAGCAACAGUCAGUGGCCUCAGCACUGUGUGGAUGACAGUUCAGAGAGGCUUAAAGGGGAAGGAAACCUAGUCGGCGCAAACAGUGUAGAAGGAUAAAGAGCUGACUGUCAUUUAGGGCAUCUGGGGAUCUAGAAGUGUCAGGGUCCACAGCCCCCAUUAUGCUCCUGCUCACAAUCUCUUAUUAUUUCUCCCCAAAAAGUGAAAUAUUCAGAGCAAUUUGCGAGAGACCGAUUUGAGAGAGAAAGCGAUUGUGAGAGAGAUAGCAAAAGAAGAAGAGAGAGAGAAGCAAAGAGAAGAGAAGACAAAGAAGAAAGAAGACCUUGAGUGACCCCCUGCCAGAGAUUAAUAACAUCUUCUCAUUUGGGAUCCUCUGGACAAAGGGGUGUCGGAGAUGGGCUUGUGUUCAAGCAAGGACCGCCUUUACAUAAAAGGCUAUCGCCAGGACUCACAGUGGAUCUACAGGAAGGAGGAGGGGAUCUGUGAGAUGACGGAUUUGGAGCGCAUGAGGAAGGAAAUCAUAGGCGAAAUCAAAUAACCAAGCUAUGAUUAUUGUAUGGCCAGAGACUGCCUGGAAUUCACCAGAUGGUAGAAAAUCAGAUUGAUGGCUAAGGUCCUGCAGGACAAGAUGAAGGCCAAAGCCCAACUGAAAUCCCUCUACAAACAACUAGAGGAGAUAAAGCGGGCAAUUUUCAGGAAGUUCAUCGAUACAUAUCCAGAGAGCCCACCAGCUGCCAGAACCGUCGCAAUUUAAACAAUACCACGUAUCGAUGCACCUCUGUGUAGGUGAUCUUCAUGACACAGAGAAAAUGAAUAUUCUCCUACGCAGAGGAGGACAAAGUCAUCAAAUUCAAGUACCCGGAGGGCCAAGAAAA
This is a long non-coding RNA of Xenopus laevis (African clawed frog), 1344 nucleotides long. RefSeq lists it as uncharacterized. NCBI's taxonomy places the organism in Eukaryota, Metazoa, Chordata, Amphibia, Anura, Pipidae. The record is from RefSeq and is a predicted model, not a curated record. The transcript is spliced from 5 exons.